GGGGCCAUAGCUCAGCUGGGAGAGCACCUGCUUUGCACGCAGGAGGUCAGCGGUUCGAUCCCGCUUGGCUCCACCA
RNAcentral lists this transfer RNA (76 nucleotides) under Francisella endosymbiont of Amblyomma maculatum. RNAcentral describes it as "tRNA-Ala". It matches the Rfam family "tRNA". From Rfam's summary of the family: Transfer RNA (tRNA) molecules are approximately 80 nucleotides in length. Their secondary structure includes four short double-helical elements and three loops (D, anti-codon, and T loops). The record is from RNAcentral. Lineage: Bacteria; Pseudomonadati; Pseudomonadota; Gammaproteobacteria; Thiotrichales; Francisellaceae.